GGGGUCUUGUUGGGGGUUCUGAUCCCGGAUCCCGCUUACUGUUUUGUCAGAUUCCCGUAUCCCGCUUACACUAUGUACGUAAGCAAUUCUCAUUUUUUUGUAAAUUCCCGUGUCCCGCUAGACUUCAAUUCCCGUUUUCACGGCACAAUUAUUUGACUUUCACGUGUAACGCUUACAAAAAGUCAGCAAUCCCGCGUCACGCUUAGACCCCAAUGAGACCCACUCAAAUUUUU
This 233-nucleotide long non-coding RNA is filed under the name Mytilus galloprovincialis (Mediterranean mussel). Lineage: Eukaryota; Metazoa; Mollusca; Bivalvia; Mytilida; Mytilidae. The record is from RNAcentral.